Molecule: ribosomal RNA, 427 nt
Filed under: uncultured Enterobacter sp.
Lineage: Bacteria; Pseudomonadati; Pseudomonadota; Gammaproteobacteria; Enterobacterales; Enterobacteriaceae
Description: bacterial SSU rRNA
Rfam family: Bacterial small subunit ribosomal RNA
Source: RNAcentral
UGGGGAAUAUUGCACAAUGGGCGCAAGCCUGAUGCAGCCAUGCCGCGUGUAUGAAGAAGGCCUUCGGGUUGUAAAGUACUUUCAGCGGGGAGGAAGGCGGUACGGUUAAUAACCGUGCCGAUUGACGUUACCCGCAGAAGAAGCACCGGCUAACUCCGUGCCAGCAGCCGCGGUAAUACGGAGGGUGCAAGCGUUAAUCGGAAUUACUGGGCGUAAAGCGCACGCAGGCGGUCUGUCAAGUCGGAUGUGAAAUCCCCGGGCUCAACCUGGGAACUGCAUCCGAAACUGGCAGGCUAGAGUCUUGUAGAGGGGGGUAGAAUUCCAGGUGUAGCGGUGAAAUGCGUAGAGAUCUGGAGGAAUACCGGUGGCGAAGGCGGCCCCCUGGACAAAGACUGACGCUCAGGUGCGAAAGCGUGGGGAGCAAACA